Molecule: ribosomal RNA, 1522 nt
Filed under: Salmonella enterica
Lineage: Bacteria; Pseudomonadati; Pseudomonadota; Gammaproteobacteria; Enterobacterales; Enterobacteriaceae
Description: bacterial SSU rRNA
Rfam family: Bacterial small subunit ribosomal RNA
Source: RNAcentral
AGAGUUUGAUCAUGGCUCAGAUUGAACGCUGGCGGCAGGCCUAACACAUGCAAGUCGAACGGUAACAGGAAGCAGCUUGCUGCUUUGCUGACGAGUGGCGGACGGGUGAGUAAUGUCUGGGAAACUGCCUGAUGGAGGGGGAUAACUACUGGAAACGGUGGCUAAUACCGCAUAACGUCGCAAGACCAAAGAGGGGGACCUUCGGGCCUCUUGCCAUCAGAUGUGCCCAGAUGGGAUUAGCUUGUUGGUGAGGUAACGGCUCACCAAGGCGACGAUCCCUAGCUGGUCUGAGAGGAUGACCAGCCACACUGGAACUGAGACACGGUCCAGACUCCUACGGGAGGCAGCAGUGGGGAAUAUUGCACAAUGGGCGCAAGCCUGAUGCAGCCAUGCCGCGUGUAUGAAGAAGGCCUUCGGGUUGUAAAGUACUUUCAGCGGGGAGGAAGGUGUUGUGGUUAAUAACCACAGCAAUUGACGUUACCCGCAGAAGAAGCACCGGCUAACUCCGUGCCAGCAGCCGCGGUAAUACGGAGGGUGCAAGCGUUAAUCGGAAUUACUGGGCGUAAAGCGCACGCAGGCGGUCUGUCAAGUCGGAUGUGAAAUCCCCGGGCUCAACCUGGGAACUGCAUUCGAAACUGGCAGGCUUGAGUCUUGUAGAGGGGGGUAGAAUUCCAGGUGUAGCGGUGAAAUGCGUAGAGAUCUGGAGGAAUACCGGUGGCGAAGGCGGCCCCCUGGACAAAGACUGACGCUCAGGUGCGAAAGCGUGGGGAGCAAACAGGAUUAGAUACCCUGGUAGUCCACGCCGUAAACGAUGUCUACUUGGAGGUUGUGCCCUUGAGGCGUGGCUUCCGGAGCUAACGCGUUAAGUAGACCGCCUGGGGAGUACGGCCGCAAGGUUAAAACUCAAAUGAAUUGACGGGGGCCCGCACAAGCGGUGGAGCAUGUGGUUUAAUUCGAUGCAACGCGAAGAACCUUACCUGGUCUUGACAUCCACGGAAGAAUUCAGAGAUGGAUUUGUGCCUUCGGGAACCGUGAGACAGGUGCUGCAUGGCUGUCGUCAGCUCGUGUUGUGAAAUGUUGGGUUAAGUCCCGCAACGAGCGCAACCCUUAUCCUUUGUUGCCAGCGAUUCGGUCGGGAACUCAAAGGAGACUGCCAGUGAUAAACUGGAGGAAGGUGGGGAUGACGUCAAGUCAUCAUGGCCCUUACGACCAGGGCUACACACGUGCUACAAUGGCGCAUACAAAGAGAAGCGACCUCGCGAGAGCAAGCGGACCUCAUAAAGUGCGUCGUAGUCCGGAUUGGAGUCUGCAACUCGACUCCAUGAAGUCGGAAUCGCUAGUAAUCGUGGAUCAGAAUGCCACGGUGAAUACGUUCCCGGGCCUUGUACACACCGCCCGUCACACCAUGGGAGUGGGUUGCAAAAGAAGUAGGUAGCUUAACCUUCGGGAGGGCGCUUACCACUUUGUGAUUCAUGACUGGGGUGAAGUCGUAACAAGGUAACCGUAGGGGAACCUGCGGUUG